CCUACGGGGGGGGSUGCAGUAGGGAAUCUUCCGCAAUGGGCGAAAGCCUGACGGAGCAAUGCCGCGUGAGUGAUGAAGGUUUUCGGAUCGUAAAGCUCUGUUGCCAGGGAAGAACGCUUGGGAGAGUAACUGCUCUCAAGGUGACGGUACCUGAGAAGAAAGCCCCGGCUAACUACGUGCCAGCAGCCGCGGUAAUACGUAGGGGGCAAGCGUUGUCCGGAAUUAUUGGGCGUAAAGCGCGCGCAGGCGGUCAUUUAAGUCUGGUGUUUAAUCCCGGGGCUCAACCCCGGAUCGCACUGGAAACUGGGUGACUUGAGUGCAGAAGAGGAGAGUGGAAUUCCACGUGUAGCGGUGAAAUGCGUAGAUAUGUGGAGGAACACCAGUGGCGAAGGCGACUCUCUGGGCUGUAACUGACGCUGAGGCGCGAAAGCGUGGGGAGCAAACAGGAUUAGAUACCCCC
RNAcentral lists this ribosomal RNA (460 nucleotides) under Paenibacillus mobilis. RNAcentral's name for it is "bacterial SSU rRNA". Lineage: Bacteria; Bacillati; Bacillota; Bacilli; Caryophanales; Paenibacillaceae. The record is from RNAcentral.